AGGCAGGGGUUGGAGCGUGGCGUGGCUGGGCACCAUGGGGGCUGGGAUGUGACUUGCACGGUUCCCCUAUUUAUAACAAGUGAUUCAGUCCUCACUUACUCACCCCUUCCUGAGCCUGCCCCCCUCCCCCGAGCCCUGGGUGGGCAGCGGGGCCCACCCACUUACCAGUGCCCUGCCUCCCUCCAGCCGGGCGCCAACCUCUGAGGGCUGCCCAUCGGGCCGGUUGUUAUGGUGGCCACGUUGGGCUGGGGGUGAGGGGUGGGGGGCGGGUGGUCAGGCAGCACUUGGCUGGGCAGCCCAGGUUAGCGGCUGGCUCAGGGCCUGGCCCCGGGAGCCUCUGCGGAGAGUCUGGGCCCAUUAGGCAAAGCGUUAGUGACAGGCUGGGAGGGCGGGCAGCAGCAGCGGGCAGGGCGGGGCCUGCAGCCCUUGGUAUUUUCCGAUCCCAGCUGCUCUGAGAGGGUGGAAAGUAUUUGGGGACCAGGCUUGGGGGCGGUGGUGGUGGCGCCCCCGGCGGAAGCUGCCCCUGAUUCAUUCUUGGAGCAUGGGGUUGGCGGGGGGGCAGGCAUUACAGAGUAUGUCUCACGAGUCCACGCCCUGUCUGCAGAGCGUACUCAGACAUACAUCCAUACAUCCAUCCAUCCAUCGGUGUGGCCUGGGGCCUGCUGUGCUCCCUGGGCCCAGGGCCCUUCCUCCCCACAAUGCCUCCAGCUGCCAGGAGCUUGGCCCUCCUUGGACACCAUCUCCCCAGAGCCUGAGAGACACGCCUAUGGUAACGGGGGCCCUGCUUCUGGGCACCUGCAUGACGGUGCCCCCUCCACUCGAGAACCAGGCCUUUUGCGCCUGCGGGGAUGGGGAGUGGCCUUGGCCCCGGCCCGGGGCUCUGUGCAGGGGAAACCCCACAGGAAACGGGCCUGGCCAAAUGGCCGCCCUUCCCGUUCUCGUCCCUGGGACACGAAUGUGCUGUCUCACUUCCGGAGGCGGCCCAGGGAGGCCGGCCGCCCUGCGGGGCCUUGUCUGCUCCCGGUUGGUGCCCCUAAACCUUGAGGGAACAGGGCUGGGCUAGGGCCCGACCGUAAAGCGGGUGGCCGGUGUGUAUGUGUGUGUGUAUGGAGGAGGCACAGAGCAGGACACCUCACUCCACCUGUCUCCCCGUGGCGGCCACCACCUACCAGAUCUGGACACUGGGGUCCUACCCGUGUGCAGCGUCUUCCGUGCCAUCAUCCUUCCUGUUUAUGCCUGGUGAAUGGUGACAGAGUAGCCCCAUUCUAAUUACACACAGCACUCGCGGGAUCCUUACCAUGACAUUAUCCCUGCUUUGCUGAUGGGGAGACGGAGGCCCAGAGAGACUGAGUGACUUGAGAGUCACCCAGCUGGGAAGCUGCAGAGCCAGGGUUCAUAUGCAGCUGGACUGGCUCCAGAGUUGGAUCUCCUAGCCGCAGGGCUCUCAUCACACGGGAGGUCUCUGUUUACUGAACACAGGACUGGCUUCAUGGGCAUGUGACCUGUGCCAUUCACAGGGUCACCCGCCACUGAGAAGGACCUGGAGCUUGGGUUCAUGCUCUGCUGUCGUCUUGGAAUUCUUAAUUUGUGAACAGGGAGCCCCAAGUCUUCAUUUUGCCCUGAGUCCCACAAAUGCUAUAGGUGGUCUCGGUGCCAGGUACUUGCUAGGCAGCACUCUUGGUGAAACCUCACCAUGCUAUGUGAUAGAGACUCUUGGCUCCAUUUUACAGAUGGGGAGACUGAGGCUUGGAGGGCAUUUGGGAAACUGCCGAGCUGGAAUUUGCACCUCGAGCCUGGGUCCGGUGCUCUGGGGGCGCGCAUGCCUCGGGGGAGACCUGGGCGCCCGCUGCCAGCAUCCGCUCACUCUGGUGGGGUGCGGGCUGAGGCCUGACCACCAAGGAGACAGGGCCACGCGGGGUGGCCCUGGUGGUUUCCUCCUGCCCUUCAGGCUUCUAGGAAGUGGCGCCAGCUGGGGUGAGAUCACUUCCUCACCCUCCUGCCCGCCACCCCCUCAGCUUCCUCUCCCCGUGGCCCCAGUUAGCCUGCCCAGGGCUCAGUGGUGAGGAAAGGGAGGGGGGACCUGGCUCUGGGAGCUCCUGCAGGCUCCUUGGCUGAAAGUGACCCUCUGGGUGUCUAUACCUCUCUGGGCCCGGGAGGCAUGGCUGGGGCUGGGGGUAUCCAGCCUGGUGGUCUAGCUCUCUUUAGUGGCUGCUGCACGUGGGGAAAAAGGGCUUCCCUGCAAGACCUCAAAGGAUGGCAGCAAGUGGGGACCUGGAGGGCAGAUGUCCUCAAAUCUCAUUACCUCCUUUUGUCUCUCCUAGGUGCCAGCUGCUGGCCCUGCCCGGUGCCCCCCCACCCCUGUGCCAUGGCCGGCUGGGGUUCCUGGGGAUGGGAUUUGCUGCCUGUCACAAAUCACAUUGCCAGGGAUUUCCAACCGACCCUGAGCCCUGCCUCUGGGGCCACCGCUGUCACUGCUUCCGCUGAGGACACUGACCCAGGGAUGGGGAUGGGGUGGCAGAGAGGCCUCCGCCGCCUGCGUCUGGCCUGGGGAGCAGGGCUUAGCUGCUUGUGAGCAGGUCCACAGCAAGUCGUGUUCACAGUGGCUAAGUUCCGCCCCCCGGGGCCCCGCCUCCUCUGGCCCUGCCACCUCUCCCCUCCGCCUGCCUGUCCGACCUCCGGGCCUCCCUGGGCUCUGCCUCCCGUGCCUACUGAGCUGAAACACAGUUGAUUUGUGCAGACUGGCUCAGUUCAGCAGGAACAGGAGUCAAGCCCCCUUGGAGUCUUCGGCCCCCGCCUGCCUUGGGUGGGCCAUUCGCCUCCUGUGAGAAGAGAUGAGGACCCUGCCCUGGACCUGUGUCUGGAGGAGGAACCUGGGGACGAGUGGAGCCUGGGGUGGGAUGGGUCAACCCCGCUGUCUGCUGCAGGCCCCCUCCUCCAGUUCUGCACUUGGGGACCCUCAGUCCCAUCUCAGGCUGGGCUGUGUUCCCAGGGAGGAUGGGUAGGCAGGCGGGUGGCCAGCCUUUCCAUGAAAAAAAGUGUCCCCGCCUGGCCGACCCUCGGCCCCUCCUCUCCCAAGCUUGGUUGGGGGAUGGCUGGCUCGCAUCUUCCCAGCAGUCAGUUACCCAAGAGGAAGCUGCCUUGGGCCCCCAGACCGUUAAAUGCCAACUCCAGGCUUCCGGAACCAGGCUGGCCUGACCUGAACCUGCCUGGCCCCUUCUCCCUGGGUCUGCGGCUUCCUAACUUGGGGGGGAGGAGCCAUGACACCCUCCUGGCACGUGGGGCAGGGAAUGAGGUCCCUGUGGGCCCAAAGGACACAAACAGGCCCGCUCAGUCCUUGGGUGGUCCCAGGGCAUGGAUGCAUUGAGACUUUGUCCAUCAUCAGAUGGAAUGGGGCUCUUUUGGGGGUGAGACUGGGGAGGCAGUGUGAAGCCCCCCCCCGAGUUGUCUCAGUGUACCCCUGUCCCACUGGGGCAGACAGCAGCUUGGGAAAGUCUAUGCUGUGUGUCGAGCCUGUUGUCCAAUUAAAUAAAAGCUGCCCCCUGCCUCAUUCCUGAA
This is an RNA transcript of Aethalodelphis obliquidens (Pacific white-sided dolphin), 3555 nucleotides long. RefSeq lists it as uncharacterized. The record is from RefSeq and is a predicted model, not a curated record. NCBI's taxonomy places the organism in Eukaryota, Metazoa, Chordata, Mammalia, Artiodactyla, Delphinidae. The transcript has a single exon.